GGAGCUUGCUCCAAAGUUAGUGGCGAACGGGUGAGUAACAUAUCGGAACAUGUCCGGAAGUGGGGGAUAACGUAGCGAAAGUUACGCUAAUACCGCAUAUGCCCUGAGGGGGAAAGGGGGGGAUCGCAAGACCUCUCGCUUUCGGAGUGGCCGAUAUCGGAUUAGCUAGUAGGUGAGGUAAAGGCUCACCUAGGCGACGAUCCGUAGCUGGUCUGAGAGGACGACCAGCCACACUGGAACUGAGACACGGUCCAGACUCCUACGGGAGGCAGCAGUGGGGAAUUUUGGACAAUGGGCGCAAGCCUGAUCCAGCCAUACCGCGUGAGUGAAGAAGGCCUUCGGGUUGUAAAGCUCUUUCAGCCGGAAAGAAAUCGCACUUCUUAAUACGAAAUGUGGAUGACGGUACCGGAAGAAGAAGCACCGGCUAACUACGUGCCAGCAGCCGCGGUAAUACGUAGGGUGCGAGCGUUAAUCGGAAUUACUGGGCGUAAAGCGUGCGCAGGCGGCCUUUUAAGCCAGAUGUGAAAUCCCCGGGCUUAACCUGGGAACUGCAUUUGGAACUGGAAGGCUAGAGUGUAGCAGAGGGGGGUAGAAUUCCACGUGUAGCAGUGAAAUGCGUAGAUAUGUGGAGGAAUACCGAUGGCGAAGGCAGCCCCCUGGGCUAACACUGACGCUCAUGCACGAAAGCGUGGGGAGCAAACAGGAUUAGAUACCCUGGUAGUCCACGCCCUAAACGAUGUCAACUAGGUGUUGGGGAAGGAGACUUCUUUAGUACCGCAGCUAACGCGUGAAGUUGACCGCCUGGGGAGUACGGUCGCAAGAUUAAAACUCAAAGGGAAUUUGACGGGGACCCGCACAGCGGUGGAUUAUGUGG
Molecule: ribosomal RNA, 874 nt
Filed under: uncultured bacterium
Lineage: Bacteria
Description: bacterial SSU rRNA
Rfam family: Bacterial small subunit ribosomal RNA
Source: RNAcentral